GAUGAACGCUGGCGGCGUGCCUAAUACAUGCCAGUCGAGCGAACGGACGAGAAGCUUGCUUCUCUGAUGUUAGCGGCGGACGGGUGAGUAACACGUGGAUAACCUACCUAUAAGACUGGGAUAACUUCGGGAAACCGGAGCUAAUACCGGAUAAUAUUUUAAACCGCAUGGUUCAAAAGUGAAAGACGGUCUUGCUGUCACUUAUAGAUGGAUCCGCGCUGCAUUAGCUAGUUGGUAAGGUAACGGCUUACCAAGGCAACGAUGCAUAGCCGACCUGAGAGGGUGAUCGGCCACACUGGAACUGAGACACGGUCCAGACUCCUACGGGAGGCAGCAGUAGGGAAUCUUCCGCAAUGGGCGAAAGCCUGACGGAGCAACGCCGCGUGAGUGAUGAAGGUCUUCGGAUCGUAAAACUCUGUUAUUAGGGAAGAACAUAUGUGUAAGUAACUGUGCACAUCUUGACGGUACCUAAUCAGAAAGCCACGGCUAACUACGUG
RNAcentral lists this ribosomal RNA (497 nucleotides) under uncultured bacterium. RNAcentral describes it as "partial 16S ribosomal RNA". It matches the Rfam family "Bacterial small subunit ribosomal RNA", at positions 28 to 507 of the family's 1533-position model. The record is from RNAcentral.